Molecule: non-coding RNA, 733 nt
Filed under: Typhlocyba sp. EMHAU-15062510
Lineage: Eukaryota; Metazoa; Arthropoda; Insecta; Hemiptera; Cicadellidae
Source: RNAcentral
UAUAAGUUUUAUUCUUGCUUAGUUUAAUUAAGUUUUUGUAUCAAUUAUAUGUUUUUUAUUUAAUUUAUUUUUUUCAGUAAUAAGAAUUAUUAAUUAAUUUUAUUAUUAUUAAGGUAUACAAUUAUACUAGAUUAAAAUUGUGCCAGCAUUCGCGGUUAUACAAUUUAUUUAAUUUAAUUUUUUUAGUUUUAAUAAUUUUAUUUAUUGAAAUAAAGAUUUAUUAAUUUAGGUGGAAUUUAUUUUUAAAUAUUAUUUUCUUAAAAAUUUUUAUUAAAUUUAAAUUUUUGACUAGGAUUAGAUACCCUAUUAGUUUUAGUUUAAACUUUAACUUGAAUACUAUCAGUUAAGUUCUGUAAAACUCAAAGAAUUUGGCGGUAAUUUAUUUUUUUAGAGGAAUUUGGUUUUUAAUUGAUGAACCACGAUAAAUUUUACUUUACUUUUAUUUGUAUAUCUCUAUAAUAUGGAAUGUUUUUUUAAUAUAUUUUCUUUUUUUGUUAAAAAAAUUAUAUUAGGUCAAGGUGCAGUUUUUGUUAAGUGAAUUUGAAUUACUUUAAUAAUAUAUAUUUUGGAUAUUUUUAAAAACUAAAAUUUGAAAAAGAAUUUAAUAGUAAAUUUUAAAUAAUUAUUUUUAUUGAAUUUUACACUAAAUUAUGUACAUAUUGCCCGUCACUCUCAUUUUAGUUGAGAUAAGUCGUAACAAAGUAAUUUUACUGGAAAGUGAAGUUAGAAAGUC